This 720-nucleotide ribosomal RNA is filed under the name uncultured bacterium. RNAcentral describes it as "partial 16S ribosomal RNA". It matches the Rfam family "Bacterial small subunit ribosomal RNA", at positions 406 to 1120 of the family's 1533-position model. The record is from RNAcentral.
GGAUGAAGGSCUUCGGGUUGUAAACCGCUGUURARGGGAGGAAAUCCAUCGGGUCCACUCGGUGGUUGACCUAUCCUCAGAGGAAGUCCGGGCUAAGUUCGUGCCAGCAGCCGCGGUAAUACGAACUGUGCGAACGUUAUUCGGAAUCACUGGGCUUAAAGGGUGCGUAGGCGGCAUGGUAGGUGGGGUGUGAAAGCCCUCKGCUCAACCGAGGAAUUGCGCUCCAAACCACCAAGCUUGAGGAAGACAGAGGUGAGCGGAACUGAUGGUGGAGCGGUGAAAUGCGUUGAUWUCAUCAGGAACACCAGUGGCGAAGGSGGCUCACUGGGUCUCUUCUGACGCUGAGGCACGAAAGCUAGGGGAGCGAAYGGKAUUAGAUACCCCGGUAGUCCUAGCUGUAAACGAUGAGCACWUGGUCGAGGGGGCUUCCACACCUUCUCGGCCGUAGCGAAAGUGUUAAGUGCUCCKCCUGGGGAGUAUGGKCGCAAGGCUGAAAUUCAAARGAAUURACRGGRGCUCACACAAGCGGUGGAGCAUGUGGUUUAAUUCKAUGCAACKCGAASAACCUUACCUGGGCUUGACMUGUGCGUGAAACUCCAUGRAAACAUGGAGCCCUCUUCGGAGCGCGUUCACAGGUGCUGCAUGGYUGUCGUCAGCUCGUGUCGYGAGAUGUUGUKGUUAAGUCCYKCAACGMGCGCAACCCCUCGCUCCCAKUUGCCA